RNAcentral lists this ribosomal RNA (333 nucleotides) under uncultured soil bacterium. Its description in RNAcentral is "bacterial SSU rRNA". It matches the Rfam family "Bacterial small subunit ribosomal RNA", at positions 26 to 346 of the family's 1533-position model. The record is from RNAcentral.
AGAGUGAACGCUGGCGGUAGGCCUAACACAUGCAAGUCGAACGGCAGCACAGUAGGAGCUUGCUCUUACGGGUGGCGAGUGGCGGACGGGUGGGGAAUACAUCGGAAUCUACCUUUUUGGUGGGGGAUAACGUAGGGAAACUUACGCUAAUACCGCAUACGCCCUUCGGGGGAAAGCCGGGGACCAGCAAUGGCCUGGCGCUGAUAGAUGAGCCGAUGUCGGAUUAGCUAGUUGGUGAGGUAAUGGCUCACCGAAGGCGACGAUCCGUAGCGUGGUCUGAGAGGAUGAUCACGCCACACUGGAACUGAGACCACGGUCCAGACUCCGACGGGA